UCCUCCAGGAUGUGUGGCGGGAGUCCA
RNAcentral lists this non-coding RNA (27 nucleotides) under Homo sapiens (human). The record is from RNAcentral. Lineage: Eukaryota; Metazoa; Chordata; Mammalia; Primates; Hominidae.